RNAcentral lists this long non-coding RNA (1496 nucleotides) under Ananas comosus (pineapple). RNAcentral describes it as "long non-coding RNA (ACOM_LNC035602)". The record is from RNAcentral. Lineage: Eukaryota; Viridiplantae; Streptophyta; Magnoliopsida; Poales; Bromeliaceae.
AUCAAUGAUGGAAACUCAAAGGUUAUGAAACUCCCAUGAGUUAUGGGGUGACUCUUAGGCUUUUGGUUCAUUAUGAGGGUGAGUUAAUGUGUCUCAUAAUGAGAGAGUUAGUGUGUGUCUAGGUUCAUUGUAUCUAGGAGCUUAUAAGUAGUGAGAUUUGGUUAAGACCAAAGACACAAGAGAGAGUGUGUGUAUGUGUGGGUUGUAAUCUCUUUUCUAAGUAGUGUAGUACUUAAUUUUUUGAGUGAACUUCUGCCUCUCUCUCUUUGUCAUUCCCUUUGCAUAUUUAGUCGUAGGACGCGAAGGUCCGGGCUAGCAAUAGGAACGAAGGCUUGCCCAUCUUCGAGCAGGAAGGUAGGCGCCGCACGGGCUUUGCGAACAGAAACGCUAAGGCCGUGACAGUUGGUAUCAGAGCCGGUUCGAGAAGGAACCAUGUCUUUGUUGGAAGCUGUCGUCGUUGACGUUGUGUCCGAGCGGAAGCGAACCGAGGGCGAUCGAGGUGAACCAUCAAAGGCGAGCAAGGCCAAAGGUGGGGGAGAGCACCGCGAUCCAUGGGACGCAAAAGGGUGCAACGAGAGUUCAACUCUGACAGCUCUGCAGCUUUGCGAGGAGGUGAAGCGCGGGAAGGCUGGGGACCUCGAGGAGGAGGACCUGAGCAGCGGCGAGACUAUCGAGUCUCAUGCAGCGCUGGAGCGGCCAGCGUCCAAGCAAAAUGCAAGUCAUUCUGCCAAGGAGCCUGCGAGGACCAAAAGGCGUUCUGCAGCUUGGCGGAGUACGCGUGCGUGUCGCGGAGGACAUGCACACUCGGGGCGUUCUGCAGCUUGGCAGAGUGCGCGUGCGUGUCGCGGAGGACAUGCACAUCCGGCGAACUCUUCACACAGCAGGCUCGCUGGUGCACUUGCUCAGAGUGGCAAGACACUAGGUGCUGGUGCGGGGAUAGAUGCGGACAUUGGGAGCAAGGCACGGGGCCGAUCGCGCACGAAGGCACGACUGACCACGCGGAAGGCUAUGCGGACUAGGAGCGACUCGGCGCGCGACGAGGGUGUCUGCGCGUUAGGUGGGGGAGAAUGUCACGGACAAAAUGUUUUCCGCUAACUUCUCCUUGACAGUGGCCCAACAUCGCUAGCGGAGCGGGUCGUUAAAGUGACCCGAACCCAACCCGCUAUGGAGAGAUGAGGGGUUUUGUAACCUCUCCCAUCAAUGAUGGAAACUCAAGGGUUAUGAAACUCCUAUGAGUUAUGGGGUGACUCUUAGGCUUUUGGCUCAUUAUGAGGGUGAGUUAAUGUUUCUCAUAAUGAGAGAGUUAGUGUGUAUCUAGGUUCAUUGUAUCUAGGAGCUUAUAAGUAGUGAGAUUUGGUUAAGACCAAAGACACAAGAGAGAGUGUGUGUAUGUGUGGGUUGUAAUCUCUUUUCUAAGUAGUGUAGUACUUAAUUUUUUGAGUGAACUUCUGCCUCUCUCUCUUUGUCAUUCCCUUUGCAUAUUUAGUCGUAGGACG